UUCUUAUCAAGAGAAGCUGAGGGAACUGGCCCGGGGAAGCUUCAGCAACCAGCCGGGCGGCAAGGUGCUACCUCCAGCAGGCCCCAAUUGCCUGGAAGAUAAGAA
Molecule: non-coding RNA, 105 nt
Filed under: Bacillus sp. (in: firmicutes)
Lineage: Bacteria; Bacillati; Bacillota; Bacilli; Caryophanales; Bacillaceae
Also listed under: 1 other name
Description: Bacillus sp. SAM-I sequence
Rfam family: SAM riboswitch aptamer (S box leader)
About the family: The SAM riboswitch is found upstream of a number of genes which code for proteins involved in methionine or cysteine biosynthesis in Gram-positive bacteria. The SAM riboswitch acts at the level of transcription termination control. The predicted structure consists of a complex stem-loop region followed by a single stem loop terminator region.
Source: RNAcentral